CAGUAGCCACGGUAAUACGAGGGGGGCAAGCGUUGUUCGGAUUUAUUGGGCGUAAAGGGUGCGUAGGCGGUUUGAUAAGUCUGAUGUGAAAUCUAUGGGCUCAACCCAUAGUCUGCAUUAGAAACUGUCGGGCUUGAGUAUGGGAGAGGUGAGUGGAAUUUCCGGUGUAGCGGUGAAAUGCGUAGAUAUCGGAAGGAACACCUGUGGCGAAAGCGGCUCACUGGACCAUAACUGACGCUGAUGCACGAAAGCUAGGGGGGCAAACAGGAUUAGAGACCCCGGUAGUCCCUGUCUCUUAUAC
RNAcentral lists this ribosomal RNA (301 nucleotides) under uncultured bacterium. RNAcentral's name for it is "partial 16S ribosomal RNA". It matches the Rfam family "Bacterial small subunit ribosomal RNA", at positions 509 to 807 of the family's 1533-position model. The record is from RNAcentral.